Molecule: long non-coding RNA, 1163 nt
Organism: Xenia sp. Carnegie-2017
Lineage: Eukaryota; Metazoa; Cnidaria; Anthozoa; Malacalcyonacea; Xeniidae
Exons: 2
Source: RefSeq, a predicted model, not a curated record
CAAAAUCAAUAUGGAAUAGUAUUGCACGAGAAUGCUAUUUUACUAAUAAUUCACGUUUAAAGUUAAAGUUUGCCGAAAUUUUCACAAAGAGUUAUCGUCUUGCGAUAAAGAUAAGGUUCCAAGCUUUUUUAGAGCAAAACGAUAUAUUUGUAAUAACAUCUAUAUUUUCUACUGCGAUCUAGCCAAAGUAUCUUUCUGGAAGGCGUGUGUAUGCUUUAAAAUUUGCUUCAAAAAAGUGGGGGACACAAACAUCAGAGAUUUCGACACGAGUAGACCUUCUGUUAAGAUAUCUAUUCUGUGGCAUGACCAAACUUAAUCUCGCGAGUAAUUUUCUUUAUGUGCGAGAUUCGUGUUUGUAGUUCCAUCAUUUAUUUCCAUGUAUGUAUUCUGCCGAAGCAGAUAUCAUCGGUUAUUUGCCGAGAAGGUUUUCUUUGCUUGAUAAUCUGGCUACUAAAAUAUCAUUGUAAACCGAAGGCUGAUGCCGAAAUUGUAAACAACAUUGUGUGUUUGAAGCUUUCGAGAGUGUUGAUAUAUAAAAAAAGAUAGGCUUUACGGAAGAACGAAGUCAAGAUAGCAUCGCAAGGUCAAUGAUUUUCCUGGCCCUGCCUAUUGCUCCUAGGAUUCAAGGAUUUUUCUUCACGUCAUGGGCAAUUAAAUUUAAGAAACUCAAGACCAAUUCGUACAUGGUAACUUGUAAAUUUAUAGUACGUGCAAAGAAUUUGGCUCUGGGUUAAUGUGAACUUUCUUGUGUCACAAUCACAACGUGAAGACAUUACACUUUGAAAUAAAAUGUAAGAGAAACAAUACUCCAAAGAAAAGUCUUUUCUUACUUCCCACAUAAUUGAGUUUUCUUAUCCUGGUGAUACAAGAUGGUUUAUAAAUCUCCUAUCAAUAAUGCUUCUUGAUAAAUGUCAAAAAUACUCAUGGUUUUUUUAUUUCUUUUAUUAUCUAAAAACUACCUAAUAAUCUUACUCCUUCUCAACAAUAAACUUUCUUUUAUUCAUUUUUUAUAUUAUUGUUAGUUUGCCUUCCCCAUCAUAAAAGUUACAUAGUUUGUAUUGUUUUCAUGCAGUAAAGCAGAACAUAAAUAAUCGUUUGUAAUCUUAAAGAGCGAGAGUGAAUUACUUCCUGGAUUACUAAUUAUAGUUGACUUAAAUAUUGAA